RNAcentral lists this ribosomal RNA (157 nucleotides) under uncultured bacterium. Its description in RNAcentral is "partial 16S ribosomal RNA". It matches the Rfam family "Bacterial small subunit ribosomal RNA", at positions 355 to 510 of the family's 1533-position model. The record is from RNAcentral.
UGAGGAAUAUUGGUCAAUGGGCGAGAGCCUGAACCAGCCAAGUCGCGUGAGGGAAGACGGUCCUAUGGAUUGUAAACCUCUUUUGUCGGGAGCAAGGGUCUUCACGUGUGGAGAUUCGGAGAGUACCCGAAGAAAAGCAUCGGCUAACUCCGUGCCC